RNAcentral lists this ribosomal RNA (253 nucleotides) under uncultured bacterium. Its description in RNAcentral is "partial 16S ribosomal RNA". It matches the Rfam family "Bacterial small subunit ribosomal RNA", at positions 524 to 776 of the family's 1533-position model. The record is from RNAcentral.
UACGUAGGGGGCUAGCGUUGUCCGGAUUUAUUGGGCGUAAAGAGCGUGUAGGCGGCCAAGCAGGUCCGCUGUGAAAACUCGAGGCUCAACCUCGAGACGCCGGUGGAAACCAUCAGACUAGAGUCCGGAAGAGGAGAGUGGAAUUCCUGGUGUAGCGGUGAAAUGCGCAGAUAUCAGGAAGAACACCCGUGGCUAAGGCGGCUCUCUAGUACGGUACUGACGCUGAGACGCGAAAGCGUGGGGAGCGAACAGG